This is a long non-coding RNA of Suricata suricatta (meerkat), 648 nucleotides long. RefSeq lists it as uncharacterized. The record is from RefSeq and is a predicted model, not a curated record. The transcript is spliced from 2 exons. Lineage: Eukaryota; Metazoa; Chordata; Mammalia; Carnivora; Herpestidae.
UGGGACAUCUUGAGUACUCUGACCAAUUUGGGGCCCUCGAUUUCAAAGGACAACGGCAACGGAGCCUCUUCCGGGCCACCUUCCAAAAGAUCACCAGAAGAUGAGGAGUGUUUAGCUCAGAAAAGAGGAGCCCAAAAGGAUGAGAACCCAUCGACCUCUUUUAGCUUACAGUUAACAAAGCCUCAGUCAUGGGAUGUCUGUUAAAGGAGCUCUUCUCCAUUCCUAACUUUUGAGAUUGACUUUAAAAUAUGUAUAUAUUUAUUUUAUGAAAAAAAUUAGUGCAAUUCAUAGGAAGCUGCAGUAAAGAAUGAGGUACCUACAAAAGCUUGAAAAUAAGAUAACAGGAUGUAACAAGAGAUUUUUGGCUGGGCAAGGCCUUGGACUUAGCCUUUGUCGGCUAGAGGGGAAAGAUGUGACCACCUCCCAUAAAAAUAUCCAUUUCCUUCUGAGUAAAGAAGCAUCGUGGAAGAAAAGACCUAGGUAUUCUAAUCUCCUCCUAGUGCGUCUGAAAGAGGCCUGAGGAACUGCUGUGGCCCUCAUUGAAAGAAUGGUCAAAGACAUGGAAGAAUGAUAGAAGAAACGAAUGGGGGUCCUUAAGAGCAAAGUCACAAUAAAAGUGAGGGGCCAUUGAGCUGAUGAUCCAACACA